RNAcentral lists this long non-coding RNA (6411 nucleotides) under Homo sapiens (human). RNAcentral's name for it is "non-protein coding lnc-PHIP-3:4". The record is from RNAcentral. Lineage: Eukaryota; Metazoa; Chordata; Mammalia; Primates; Hominidae.
GCAAAGUAUGCCGGGAUGGGUGUGGAGGCCGCGGAACUUCUGGCGGGCGCAAGCUAUAUGCCUUGUUGAUCUUGCCGCAUCUUUUUUACUAGAUGUCGGCUGAGUGAGUAGCUACAGUUUUUAACAUGUUUAACUUACGGCCUUCAAAAAUUGUUAGCGGACUUUCUCUGUUGCCUCCUCAGUGAGCUCUGCCCUUUCUCGCAACUCCUUGUCGUCCCACCGCGCCUCUGCACCUCAGAGGAAGGAGAAGAGUAGCGAGGCCGAGCGGGUUUUUAGAUUUCUCUGUGAUUACCCCCAGCCUUGUCUUUUCUGACUUUACCGUCCCCGCUUGGGGUACUGCUUUUUGAGGCUCCCUCGGCCACAUUUUUGUGGUUCGUGAGAGGUUUCAGUUGAGGUGAACUUUUUGCCCCUGUGAUCUUGGACAGUUUAUGAUUCUUCAUAUCUCAGUAUCAUCUUCUCUAAAGCAGGGUUGAUAAUAUUUUUUAUAUUAGUAAUAUAUAAUAUAUUCUAAUAUAUAUAAUAUAUUCUAAUAUAUAAUAUAUUCUAAUAUAUAUAAUAUAUUAAUAUUAUCAAAGCAAUGUUGAUAAUAUUUUUCACAUUUGCUAUGUGCUUAUAAGGCGCCCAUUGUAUGUAGAGUGCGUUGCAUAUGGAAAGCAGAGUGAACAUAAUGGAUGUUUGUAAUGAUAGCUAUGGCUUUGGCAUCAUUUUUGUGUCUCCCCAUUUUUUUCUAAAAUCCCUGGAAUGGUUCGGGCCUUGAAUUCCGACAGAAGAGAUUUAGGUGGUAGCAAAGCACGUCCAACAUGGAGUUUGCUGGGCCUGCACAACUUGGAGCUUCUCUGUACCCUUUUCUUCAGAGAACUUUUAGAACACAACCCUCAACUUCCCGUCUUCUGGAUUCUCUUCCUAGCACUAAGCAAUGAUCUUUGUAAAAAUAGCCCCACUGACUUAUACGUCUUUACUAUCUGAAUUUUAUCAAGAGAAUCGAGGGGGGAAAAAAGAAUUUUGAAUAACUAGUUCUAGAAGGACAAGAACUGUUCUUUUAAAAGGACCCUGAAAAGCUGACAGUCCUCUUGUAGUUUCUUCACCAUCGUUUUUUCUGUUCUUUUCGAUUAGUAUAAUUCAACUAAAUCAAUGGUACCCCCCUCCUUUAAUUAGGCUCAUCACUAGAUUAACAUAAUUUUGUGUAUAUCCAUCUUGUUUAUUGUUAGCUGAAAACAAUUUUAAUUUAAAAACUAACGUUAAGAACUUUCCGUCAUAGUCUUUUAUUAUUUAAGACACCCAAAAUAAUGUUUCUUAAACUUGGUGAAAAAUUCUUUUUCCCUUACGAUAAAUGCGGAAGAAUAUAGCCUCCAAAAUAAAUUAUUGAAUGAGUGAAUGUCAUAAACAAAAAGCAACAGGAGUUAAAGUGUAAGUAUUUAGUAUACGAUAAAAGAUUUCAUAUCAGUGGAAAAUGAUUACAUGGUACAGGGAUAAUUGUAAGCUAUAUAUAUAAUAUACUAUAGCUAUAUAGCUAUAGUAUAUUUUAUAUAUAUAUAUAUUUUUUUUUUUUUGAGGCGGAGUCUCGCUCUGUCAUUCUGGCUGGAGUGCAGUGGUGCGAUCUGGGCUCACUGCAAGCUCCGCCUCCCGGGUUCACGCCAUUCUCCUGCCUCAGCUCCCGAGUAGCUGGGACUACAUGUGCCCGCCACCACGCCCGGCUAAUUUUUUUGUAUUUUUAGUAGAGAUGGGGUUUCACCGUGUUAGCCAGGAUGGUCUCGAUCUCCUGACCUCGUGAUCCGUCCACCUCGGCCUCCCGAAGUGCUGGGAUUACAGGCAUGAGCCACGGUGCCUGGCCCAUUGUAAGCUAUAUUUUUAAAGAAUUUGUAUCUUAUAUCAUACAUUGAAAAUAAUUCAGAUGAGACCAAAAAGAAAAAUAAUUGGAAGAACCUAUAUGUAAAUAUAAAUAUUCUGGGGGAUGGGAAGGCUGGCCUUAAUCAUAAUUUCAUGUGCAGCAACCAUGAAGGAAAAGUUUGAAAAAUUGGACUAUACUAAAAAAAAUCAGUUAUAUAAAGCAAAAUAAAAACAAAGGUGGGGGGGCAAAUAAAUGGGGAAAAAUGUUUGUUAAUGUUUAUUAUGUAUAAAGGGCUAAGAGUCUUAAUGCUUAGAGAACUGUUGCUAGAAGAAACAAACGUGUCAAAAGAAAAAUAAUGAACACUGAGGCAAACUGUAUUAGAUUGCUAUUGCCAUAACAAAAGUCUUUCGGCUUCAAAGACUUUGGAGCUUAAACAGCACAAAUUUAUUUUCUCACAGUUCUGGGGCCUAGAAGUCCAAGAUUAAGGUGUCAGCAGUUUUGGUUUCCCCCAAGGCCUUUCUGGUUGGCUUGCAGACGGCUACUUUCUUGCAGCAUCCUCACAUAGCCUUGCCUCUGUGCACAUUACCCCGAUGUCUCUUCAUAGAGCCUCACCUUUGUGACUUCCAUUUAACCUUAAUUACCUUCUUAAAAGCCCUGUUCCAAACACAGUCACAUUGAAGAGCACUCCAACAUACGAAUUUUGGGGAACACAAGUCCACAAUACAGACCAAGAAAGCAGAAAUGUUAGUAGUCUAUAGGAUGAAAAAAAAAAUAGUUUAUCCUCACCAGUAGUUUAAGAAAUGCAAAUUUAACUACAGUGUAAUGUCUGUUUUUGAACUAUCAUUUUGGCAAAUAACAAAGCCCGUGAGAAUGGAGAAGGAAUAGAUAAUACUGGAUUUUGAAAGAAGAAUGAAUUAAUUCUUUGUGACAGAACUAUAAAUUAAUAGUAUAUGAAAGAGAAGGAUAAGCCUAAACUGACUUAUGAAGUUUUCAGCUGGAAUGAUUGGGAGAAUGAAUGAAGAGCAUAGAGCUAUUUGUUCAGCUCAUAGUAGCCCAGUUCUCUCUCAGAGUCAAGGCUGAGCCCCUAGCAACUGUUUUGAAUAAGGUGACUCUACCAAGUUGAUUGUACUAAGAAUAGGUACCUAAUUCCAGUUGAACCCGUUGGAAUUUUUCACAUGAGAAUCUAUAUUUACACCAAAUUUUAAAAAUUUAGUCUCUUAGGUGACAGGGCUGUGACAUACACUCAUAUAUAUAUUUAUGUAAAACCUUGGGAGAUAUAGAUUGGCCAUUUUUCUAUUAGAGAAAUAGAAAAAGUGUAGAGAUGGGGUGGGGAGAAAGAGAGAGAAAGAGAAAAUGAUACUUUCCAAGAGGAUCAGAGGUGAGAUGGAAAAAUAGUCCAGAUGCAAUUCCAGUCUCUUUUUUAAGAAUUUUUUCUUAGGCCUGGUUUCAUUCCUGCCCUGGAGUUCUCUAAAAUAUUCCUGUAUCCUUAUAAAAAUUCCCCUCCCCCUUUUUUUUGCAUAAGUAGCUUGACCAAGUUUUAUGUUAUCUUAAAACCAAGACUGAUAAGAAUAAAUGAGAAGGAGAAUUUAAAGCUGACUUUUAUACCUGUCAGCCUGAAGGAAUUUAUAGAACUUCACACAAAGUGGAUCUGUAGGUGCACUGCUCAAAGCUUCACCUUUUGGGGAAAUUUUCCUUCUCCACUGUUAUUCAGAGAUUUUACAAGUGACGUUGUUCCACAGCUGCUUCUCAUUUUUUACUGGCACCUGCAUACCAAGCCAGCCUAUCCAUAAUCUUGCCAUAAAAGCUCAGGUUUUUUUCCUCCUCCUUCAGUUGGCCAUAGAGUAAUCCCUACAUAGCCAUUGGUGUGAGGUGAGGGAGGUGUUUUGGUGCAACCUUGGUGGGUGGCAUGGGCGUCUGAGCUGCUUGCUCAUGCAGCUUGCUUAUACCCUCUGGUGCUUGUGUCUCAGAUGUGCCAUUAUCUUUUUAUCUGUUUCUGGUGGGGUAUCUGACUUUGAGUUGAAGUCUCUGACAGUACCCAGCUUAUGAUGGGCAAUUCCAAACAUCUCAAAAAUUAAAAUCCCAAGUGUCAGAAGAGAAUGGAAUAAUACAUUCUAAAUCCUGAGGGGGAAAAAAACCUAACCUAGAAGUGUGUAUUAAGGUCCUUGCCUUGUUCAAAAAGAUGUCAGAUGUACUAAAAUCACUUUAGACUUUGUUACACUUUAUAAUUAAAUACUUAUGGAAAAUAUAUUGGUAAAUGAAGAAGCCAAAAGGAACAGAAAAAAGGCUCAAAGGGGUAAGGGAAAGAUUAAGAUAGUACAAUGUUGUGGAACCAAAGUUUGUAUAAUUGUCAAAAAGAGGUGAUCCAUAAUGUCAUGGUACAGGUCAAAAACUUGAAGAUGAAGACAUGCCUAUUGCAUGUAAUAUUUAGCAGAUUUUUAGUGACCAUUCAAAGAAAUGUUUUACUGUUAACCAGAUAGCAAAGGGUUAAGGAAAAGUGAUUGGGAAAAGUAGAAAGAGAUAAAUAUUUGUUAAUGUUCUCUAUAGUGAGUUUUUUUUUUUAAGUAAUUGGAUUUAGACUUUCCAGAAAUGAAGUGAGGUAUUAUCCUAUUUUAUCUCACAAAUAACCCAGACACUGGGUAUAGCUUUCCGUCUAGGCUUUUAUUUUAUUUCCAGGUUUGUUUCUUGCUUUCUUAAUAGGUUGCGGUUGUUUAUCUUCUGGCACCUUAAAUGAUACAGGUAGAAUAGGAUGCUGUGUGGACCAUGGGGAUUUUUGCCAGUCAGCUUUGUUUACUUGUCUCUGCUGCCCCCUUACACAGGGUUCUAGUCUCAUGAUUACAUCUUCACCUUGAAAGUUACAAUUUAGUCCAGGAAAAGUGCUCUCAAGUGUAUCUUGAUAUCUGAGUGAAAAUAAACCUGAAUCAGCCAAUCCACUAUAUCAUUUUGUUGUUAGACUGGGCUACCCUAUAUUUUGCUGUUAGAUUUCAUACCACCUGAUUCUGUGUACAUGCUUGACUGUCCUCUUGGACACCUCAAAUUUUCAGAAAAGUUUAUGGUUUAAAUGUGUUUUCACUUUGCUCAUUUUCGCUGUAACUCAUUUCACAUCACUGUUUUUCUUUUGUAUUAUCUGGCUUAUUAUUCUUGGUUUUCACAUAUCUAGCUGCAUAAUGUAACUACUUAACAUUUUAAUUGGUUAUGGGAAGCACUGAAUGCUUCAUUUAAUUAGUGGAGAAGUAAUAUUUUAUAAAUGAAGCUAUGGUAGUAAUAGUAACAAGUAUUAGUUGUAAUUAUAUCUUAACUAAUUUACAUCGUAUCCAAGAGACUAAGAAAUGUUUGACAGUUCUUUUCAGAUUUAAGCUGUGAAACUCUCACUUUGAUAAAGACUGCUUCUUCUUGAUGUCUCUCCUUGAAAGCAGUGGAUUAGAGGUAGCUUUGCCCACAGAUAUUUUAACCUCCCAAAAGUAUUUAAUUCCAAAUUUUAAUAGUGUCAAAGCUAACAGGAUAUUGCAGAUACAUAAGUUACUUAGGGAGGAAAUCUUAAUUUCUUGAUAUUUUAUGUAGAAUAAAUAGUCAAGUUUAUACUAUAACAUCCUGGCAAAAUUGUAACAAGUAAGAGAAGACUGCUUACAUAAAUUCUGUGUCCAUGAAUACUAUAUUAGAUGUUUGUAAAGAGUUAUUGUAACUGUAAUUCUCUAAGCAUGCAGAAGGAAAUGAAAUCUUGAUUAGAUGGUCAGUUAUUAAAGAUCUAACAGGGCACAGAGAUAUAGAUGAUAAUAAAUUAGCAAAAUUAUCCAAGAAAAAAGAUGGUGUCCAAAAAAUUGACAAAGGGAAGAUCCUGUAGUAAGAAAACAUUGAAUUUAGAAACUAGAGAAGCAUAGUCUCAUUUUACAGAUGAACACACUAGAACCCAGAAAAGUUUUUCAAGUCAUGUCCCCCAGGUUACCGGCAGAGGCAGUCUAAUACUCUUUUCCACUCUGUCCUGCUGCCUCCCAGUAAUCACUGAUUAUUUGCACUACUUACAGAGCCUAUUGCUGCUGGCAAAGCUCUUUCUCAAAACAAAUAAAAAAAUCUACUUCACCUCUAGCCUUUUUUGAUUCUUACAACACUGCUCUUCUUGUUCUACUUCCUUCUCUCUUGUCACGUCUUUCCUGUAAGUUUCACUGGCAUUUCAGCUUGCUUCUUCUCCCUCUAAUUUUUUCUUUUUUUGAGAUGGAGUCUUGCUCUGUUGCCCAGGCUGGAGUGCAGUGGCAUGAUCUUGGCUCACUGCAACCCCUGCCUCAUGGGUUCAAGUGAUUCUCUUGCUUCAGCCCCCCAAGUAGCUGGGACUACAGGCAUGCACCACCACACCUGGCUGAUUUUUGUAUUUUUAGUAGAGACAGGGUUUCACUAUGUUGGCCAGGCUGGUUUCGAACUCCUGACCUCAUAAUCUGCCUGUCUCCCCCUCCCAAAGUGCUGGGAUUACAGGUGUGAGCUACCGUGCCCGGCCUCUCCCUCUAAAUUUAUAGCUACUUUCAUGGAUUCAGUUUUCACCUCUAUUGGCUCAAUUUUUUUUUUUUUUUUUUUUUGAGACGGAGUCUCGCUCUGUC